ACUCUUAGCAGGAGAAAAAAACAAACCCCACAAAUUCCAGCAUAGCUGCUGGGGGACUCACUAGGUUUGGGAAAUUAGUCUUAUAAGAGAAUUCUCCCUAACACAGGACUCUUUCGGGGCCCUGUAAUUGGAAUGAGUACACUUUAAAUCCUUUAACAAGGAUCCACUGGAGGGCAUGUCUGGUUCCAUCAGACACAGUAAUUACAGCUCCAAUAGUGUAUAUUAAAGUUACUGCAGUUAAAAAGCUGGUAGUUGCAUCUUUGGAUUGAGUUGGCGGUCUGUUGUGAGGUGAGAUACUGCUUUGUCCCAGCUUUUCCACACCCUCUUGAUGCUCUGGGCAGUGCCCUGGGGGUCAGAGGAGUUUACUAUGAAAAAACUGGAGUGUUCAAAAUAGGCCGGGAACCUGAAUACUUCUGCUAGGAAUAAUGGAAUAGGACUCUGGUUCUAUUUUUUGGUUUUCAGAACUGGGGUCAUGACUAAGAGGGAUGGCCCGGGGCAUUCAUAUUGUGCCGCUAGAGGUGAAAUUCUUGGACGGGCGCAAGACGAACUAAAGCGAAAGCAUUUGCCAAGAAGGUUUUAAUUAAUCAAGAACAAAUGUCAGAGAUUCAGAGAUGGCGAGAUACCGUCAGACACCCGACCAUAAACGAUGCAGACUGGUGAUCCAGCAGCGUUAUUCCCAUGACCCAACCAGCAGCUUUAAGGGAAACCAAAGUCUUUGGAAACCCCAGUUUUAUCUGUUAAAGUGAAUGAUUAGAGGUCUUGGGGCCGAAAUGGUAUCAACCUAUUCUCAAACUUGAAAAAGGUAAAAAACCUGGCUCGCUGGCGUGGAGCUGGGAAUCAAAUAGGAGUGUCCACUGGGCCACUUUUUGGUAAGCAGAACUGGUGUUGCGGGAUAACCGAACACCAGGUUAAGGCCCCCUAUGAUACUCAUUACACCCCAGAAAAAUGUGUUGGCUGAUAUGGACAGCUGGACGGUGGCCAUGGAAGUCUGAAUCCGCUAAGGACUGUCACAAUUUACCUGCAGAAUUAGCAAGGCCUGAAAAUGGAUGGUGCUGGAUCAUCAGACACAUGAGCAGCGGGGAAUAAGCCAUGAUGAGGCGGAGGGCCGCUGCACUGUGCCCCGGGCUGAGCUGCGCAGGUGCAGAUCUUGGUGGUAGUAGCAAAUAUUCCAUAAAGAACUUUGAAUGCCAAAGUUGGGAAGGUUUCCAUGUGAACAGUAGUUGAACGUGGGUGAGUCGGUCCUAAGAGACAGGCGAGAGCCGUUUGGUAGGGACGGGUGAUGGCCUCUGUUUCCCUCAGCCUAUCAAAAUGGAGAUGGGUUCAGAUCCCGAAUGUAGAGUGGCGGAGACAGGCUCCCUUGAGGGGUCCAGUGCGGUAACGCAAAAGAUCGCAGAGAAGCCGGCGGGAGCCCCAGGCAAGUCUUUGAAGGGCAGGGCACCCUGGAAUGGAUUUGUCCUGAGAGAUGAGCACGAAAAGGGAAAGGGUUGUGAUUCCAGUGGCAUUCAGUGAGCUCUAGUUGGUCCUUGAACAUCUGGUGGAGAUGGUAUAAAUCUUGCGCCAGACCGUAUCUAUAUCCGCAGUAGGUCUUCAAAGUGAACAGCCACUGGCAUGUUGGAACAAUUUAGGUAAGGGAAGUCGGCAAGUCAGAUCAGUAACUUUGGGAUAAGGAUUAGCUCUAAGGGAUGGGUCGGUCAGGCUGGGGUGUAAAGCGGGGAUGGGCACACGCUGCGGCUGGACGAGGUGUCUAACCCAUGGGGGCAGCGCUGAAUCUGGACCCGAGCCGGGCCAUUCCUUUGGAUCAACCCAGCUAUGGUGGCCACCUUUCUUCAUUCCCCUCUCGGGGUUCAGGGCCGGUGUUCUGCCUCAACCGAAGCCUAGCAUUGGACUUAGAACUGUUGCGGACCAGGGGAAUUCGACUGUUUAAUUAAAACAAAGCAUCGCAAAGGUCUGCAGUGAGUGAUUCUGCACAGUGCUGUGAAUGUCAAAGCGAAUAAAUUAAAUGAAGCGCAGCGACUCUCUUAAGGUAGCCAAAUGCCUCGUCAUUCAAGUAGUGACGCGGAUGAAUGGAUCAACGAGAUACCCAUUGUCCCUACCUUAUUAUCUAGCAAAUCCACAGCCAAUGGAACAGGCUUGCAUAAUCUGCAGGCAAAUAAGACCCUGUUGGACUCGACUCUAGUCUGGUACUGUGAAGGGACAUGCGCAGUUUACAAACAUGUGUGGCCGCCGGUGAAAAGCCACUAUUCUCAUUAUUUUUUCACUUACCCAGUGAGGUGGGGGGUUGGGGCAAGCCCUGUGUGGCUCUUACUUCCGGAUCCAAUAGCCCGUCACCUGCCAGGCGCGACCCGCUCCAUGAUCAGUGGCAGGUGAGGAGAUUGGCUGAGGCGGUACACCUGUCAAAUGAUUAUCCAGGUGUCAUAAGGCGAUCUCAGGGAGGACAGAAGCCUCCCGCAGAGCAGAAGGGCAAAAUCUUGCUUGAUCUUGUUUUUCAAUAUGAAUACAGACCACAAAAGCAGGGCCGCCCCAUCCAUCUGAUUUUUGGGGUUUCAAGCAGGUGUCGUCAGAAAAGUUACCACAGAUGUAACUGGCUUGGGACGGCCAAGCGUUCAUAGUGAUGCCGCUUUUUGAUCCUUUGAUGCCGUCUCUUCCUAUCAUAAUGAAGCAGAAUUCACCAAGUGUUGGAUUGUUCACCCACUAACGCGGUUCGUGAGACAGGUUAAUUUUACCCUAACAAUGAUGUACUGUUGCAAUAGUAUUCCGGCUCAGUACGAGAUGACCCGCAGAGUUAGAUAUUUGGUGUAUGCGCUUGGCUGAGGAGCCAGUCGGGUGAAGCUAUAAUCUAGGGGAUUAUGACUGAACCCUUCUAAAUCAGAAUCCCAUGUAAACCAUAAUAGCGCAACACUGAGGAGCCUCGGUUGGCCUACUAAAGCCAGCAUUUGAGCUGAAGUGCACAGCGCUCGCCGCAGGACUCGAUUGU
RNAcentral lists this ribosomal RNA (2974 nucleotides) under Ambystoma mexicanum (axolotl). RNAcentral describes it as "eukaryotic LSU rRNA". The stretch from base 539 to 2974 matches the Rfam family "Eukaryotic large subunit ribosomal RNA". Lineage: Eukaryota; Metazoa; Chordata; Amphibia; Caudata; Ambystomatidae. The record is from RNAcentral.